Molecule: ribosomal RNA, 534 nt
Filed under: uncultured bacterium
Lineage: Bacteria
Description: bacterial SSU rRNA
Rfam family: Bacterial small subunit ribosomal RNA
Source: RNAcentral
CGUGGGUAACCUGCCCCAUACACAGGGAUAGCCAUUGGAAACGAUGAUUAAUACCUGAUAAAACAUAUGAAUCGCAUGAUUUAAAUGUCAAAGAUUUAUCGGUAUGGGAUGGACCCGCGUCUGAUUAGCUAGUUGGUAAGGUAAUGGCUUACCAAGGCGACGAUCAGUAGCCGACCUGAGAGGGUGAUCGGCCACACUGGAACUGAGACACGGUCCAGACUCCUACGGGAGGCAGCAGUGGGGAAUAUUGCACAAUGGGCGCAAGUGAUGCAGCAACCCGCGUGAACGAAGAAGGCUUUCGGGUCGUAAAGUUCUUUUCUUAGGGAAGAAACAUGACGGUACCUAAGGAAUAAGCACCGGCUAAAUACGUGCCAGCAGCCGCGGUAAUACGUAUGGUGCAAGCGUUAUCCGGAAUCACUGGGCGUAAAGGGUACGUAGGCGGUGAUGCAAGUCAGAAGUGAAAGGCUACGGCUCAACCGUAGUAAGCUUUUGAAACUGCAUGACUAGAGUUCAGGAGAGGUAAGUGGAAUUCCU